RNAcentral lists this transfer RNA (75 nucleotides) under Chitinophagales bacterium. Its description in RNAcentral is "tRNA-Asp". It matches the Rfam family "tRNA". From Rfam's summary of the family: Transfer RNA (tRNA) molecules are approximately 80 nucleotides in length. Their secondary structure includes four short double-helical elements and three loops (D, anti-codon, and T loops). Further hydrogen bonds mediate the characteristic L-shaped molecular structure. tRNAs have two regions of fundamental functional importance: the anti-codon, which is responsible for specific mRNA codon recognition, and the 3' end, to which the tRNAs corresponding amino acid is attached (by aminoacyl-tRNA synthetases). tRNAs cope with the degeneracy of the genetic code in two manners: having more than one tRNA (with a specific anti-codon) for a particular amino acid; and 'wobble' base-pairing, i.e. permitting non-standard base-pairing at the 3rd anti-codon position. The record is from RNAcentral. Lineage: Bacteria; Pseudomonadati; Bacteroidota; Chitinophagia; Chitinophagales.
GGUCUAUUGGGGAAGAGGUUAUCCUAUCUGACUGUCUAUCAGGUGUCGUCGGUUCGAAUCCGUCAUAGACCGCCA